This 501-nucleotide ribosomal RNA is filed under the name uncultured bacterium. RNAcentral describes it as "partial 16S ribosomal RNA". It matches the Rfam family "Bacterial small subunit ribosomal RNA", at positions 30 to 523 of the family's 1533-position model. The record is from RNAcentral.
AUUGAACGCUGGCGGCAGGCUUAACACAUGCAAGUCGAGCGGGGUGAUGGUGCUUGCACUAUCACUUAGCGGCGGACGGGUGAGUAAUGCUUAGGAAUCUGCCUAUUAGUGGGGGACAACAACUCGAAAGGGAUGCUAAUACCGCAUACGUCCUACGGGAGAAAGCAGGGGAUCACUUGUGACCUUGCGCUAAUAGAUGAGCCUAAGUCGGAUUAGCUAGUUGGUGGGGUAACGGCCCACCAAGGCUAAGACAAGUAGCUGGUCUGAGAGGAUGGUCAGCCACACUGGGACUGAGACACUGCAAAGACUCCUACGGGAGGCUGCAGUCGAGGAUAUUUAGCAAUGGGCGAAAGCCUGACUAUGCGACGCCGCGUGAGGGAUGAAGGUUUUCGGAUCGUAAACCUCUUUUGUCAGGGAAGAAACCUUUCAAGGUAAUACUUUGAAAGCUGACGGUACCUGAAGAAUAAGCCACGGCUAACUCCGUGCCAGCCGCCGCCGUAA